RNAcentral lists this ribosomal RNA (199 nucleotides) under Phycisphaerales bacterium. Its description in RNAcentral is "partial 16S ribosomal RNA". It matches the Rfam family "Bacterial small subunit ribosomal RNA", at positions 1326 to 1533 of the family's 1533-position model. Lineage: Bacteria; Pseudomonadati; Planctomycetota; Phycisphaerae; Phycisphaerales. The record is from RNAcentral.
UCGGAAUCGCUAGUAAUCGCGCAUCAGCUACGGCGCGGUGAAUAAGUUCCUGAGCCUUGUACACACCGCCCGUCACGUCAUGGGAGCCGGGAGUGCCCGAAGUCGCCGCAUCUCAGCGGUGCCUACGGCAAGACUGGUGACUGGGACUAAGUCGUAACAAGGUAGCCGUAGGGGAACCUGCGGCUGGAUCACCUCCUUU